UAUAAUUAUAAUUAUAAAUAUUCAUAAAAAUAAAAUUAUUUUUAAUAUUUAAUCCUUUCGUACUAAAAUAUUAUUAUUAUUUAAAGAUAGAAACCAACCUGGCUUACACCGGUUUGAACUCAGAUCAUGUAAGAUUUUAAUGAUCGAACAGAUCAAAAUUUUAAACUUUUGCAUUUAAAUUUUAUCUUAAUCCAACAUCGAGGUCGCAAACUUUUUCUCCUAUUUGAACUAAAAGAAAAAAUUACGCUGUUAUCCCUAAGGUAAUUUUUUCUUUUAAUCAUUAUAAAUGGAUCAUAUAAUCAUAAAUUAAUGUUAAAAUAGUAAAAAAGUUAAUUUAAUUUUUUUAUCCCCCCAAUAAAAUAUUUUUAUUUAUUUUAAUUUAAAAAUUUAAAUAUAAAUAAUAAUAAAAUAAAAUAUAAAACUCUAUAGGGUCUUCUCGUCUUUUAAAUAUAUUUUAGCUUUUUAACUAAAAAAUUAAAUUUUAUAAUUUAAUUAGAGACAGUUUAUAUUUCAUCCAAUCUUUCAUACAAGCCUCCAAUUAAAAGGCUAAUGAUUAUGCUACCUUUGUACAGUCAAAAUACUGCAGCCCUUUAAUAAUUUAUCAGUGGGCAGAUUAGACUUAAAAUUAUUUUCAUAAAGACAUGUUUUUGAUAAACAAGUGAAUAUAUUUUUGCCGAAUUCCUUUAAUUAAUUUUAAAUAAAUUUUUAUUUAAAUAAAUUUUAUAUACUAAUUUUAUCAUUAUAUCUAAUUUUAUCUUAUUAAAAUAUAUUUUUUUAUAAAAAUUUAAAUUUUUUUUAAAAUUUUAAAUUUAAUUAAAUUAUUUAUAAAAAAUUAUAAUUUAUUUUACAAUUUAAAUCUUAAAAUUUUAACUAUAAAUAAAAUAAAUAUUAUAAAAAUUUAUUUUAAAGCUUAUCCCUUAAAAUAUUUAAUAUUAACAAAUAAAAUUUUAUAUAAUAAAAAAUUUAAAUUUAAUAUUUAAAAUUAAAUUUUUUUCUAAAAAAACUAGAUAUUUUUAAAAACGAUUAACAUUUCAUUUCUAAUUAAUUAUUAAAAAUAAUUAUACCACAUUAACUUUAUUAAUUAAUUAACCCCUUUAAAUUCAAGAAAUUUCCCCCUAGAAAAUAUUAUUAAUAAACUCUGAUACACAAGAUACAAUAAAUCAAAUUUACUUAAAAAUAAAUUAAUUAUUUCUUAUUUCAAAAUUCUUUUACAAUACUAUUACCCUAUAAAUUUUUUUAUUUUUUCUAUAAAUAUACUUUAACCCCCAUUAAAAUAUAUGUAUAUACCAAUAAAAAUUUUUUUAUUAUUUUUUUUUUUAUUAAUUUUUCCCCC
RNAcentral lists this ribosomal RNA (1333 nucleotides) under Papilio elwesi. Its description in RNAcentral is "16S ribosomal RNA". Lineage: Eukaryota; Metazoa; Arthropoda; Insecta; Lepidoptera; Papilionidae. The record is from RNAcentral.